Non-coding RNA from Caerostris darwini, 79 nucleotides. The record is from the annotation of a GenBank genome assembly. Lineage: Eukaryota; Metazoa; Arthropoda; Arachnida; Araneae; Araneidae.
ACGGCUUUACCAUGCUGAAUAUACCGGUUCUCGUUGGAUCACCGAAGUCAAGCAUCAUUGGGCGCGGUCAGUACCUGGG